UAACUCGCAUAUAUUCUCCCAUGGUAAGAAAAAGUAAUGUUUCUUUUGGCAUCUUAUAUACCUGAAUAAAGUGCAGUCAACAAAUAAAUGGGAUUCACAUAAAGGAAAUUGAAUGGAUUUUGUUUGUUAAAGCAAGAUAACUGAACAGGAUUCAUAUCUUAAAGUGGUUGAAAUCAUUAUAUGCAACCUACAAUAGAAAUUGUGGCAUGCAAUCUUUGCUAAAACAUCAGCACACAAUAUCUGUCAACAAAUAUUAUUCCACUUUUACCCAUCUGUUAUGAGACCAAAUCCAUAUUAAUCAUGGAGGGAGUUUCAGUCAUUUUGCUCUAGCUGCUU
Molecule: unclassified non-coding RNA, 336 nt
Filed under: Hevea brasiliensis (rubber tree)
Lineage: Eukaryota; Viridiplantae; Streptophyta; Magnoliopsida; Malpighiales; Euphorbiaceae
Source: RNAcentral